GACGAACGCUGGCGGCGUGCUUAACACAUGCAGGUCGAACGAAGAGCGAUGGAAGCUUGCUUCUAUCAAUCUUAGUGGCGAACGGGUGAGUAACGCGUAAUCAACCUGCCCUUCAGAGGGGGACAACAGUUGGAAACGACUGCUAAUACCGCAUACGAUCUAGUCUCGGCAUCGAGGAUAGAUGAAAGGUGGCCUCUACAUGUAAGCUAUCACUGAAGGAGGGGAUUGCGUCUGAUUAGCUAGUUGGAGGGGUAACGGCCCACCAAGGCGAUGAUCAGUAGCCGGUCUGAGAGGAUGAACGGCCACAUUGGGACUGAGACACGGCCCAGACUCCUACGGGAGGCAGCAGUGGGGAAUCUUCCGCAAUGGACGAAAGUCUGACGGAGCAACGCCGCGUGAGCGAUGACGGCCUUCGGGUUGUAAAGCUCUGUUAAUCGGGACGAAAGGCCUUCUUGCGAAUAGUGAGAAGGAUUGACGGUACCGGAAGAGAAAGCCACGGCUAACUACGUG
This 510-nucleotide ribosomal RNA is filed under the name uncultured bacterium. Its description in RNAcentral is "partial 16S ribosomal RNA". It matches the Rfam family "Bacterial small subunit ribosomal RNA", at positions 28 to 507 of the family's 1533-position model. The record is from RNAcentral.